RNAcentral lists this long non-coding RNA (6258 nucleotides) under Citrus sinensis (sweet orange). Its description in RNAcentral is "long non-coding RNA (CSIN_LNC001382)". Lineage: Eukaryota; Viridiplantae; Streptophyta; Magnoliopsida; Sapindales; Rutaceae. The record is from RNAcentral.
ACUAAGAUAUAUAAAAUGCAAUUUUGCAGCAUUUUCUUCAUGAAAAAUGAAACAAUUUUGCAACUUUUGGUUCAUUGAGAAAGAUGUUUGACAACUAGACGUUUCCAAAAACGAUUGCCCUGCGAAAGCGAAGGUGAAGAUAAUUAGCAAGUGAAUCAGCAAUAACCAUCGAUUCAGUUUCACGUCAAAAAUCAGGUCGCCUUCUUAUGAAUUAGUGCCUUUGAAAAUUAUGAGAUCAGCUCGCUUUCUUAUGAAAUUAUUUGGAUAUUAUUCAGUUUUAGGUUGCCUUUAUAUGAAAUUAUUUGGAAAUUAUUCAGUCUUAGUUGCCUUCUCAUGAAUUUUUUUUUUGGGGAAUUUUUCAGUUUCAAGUUGACAUCUUACGUAUGAACAGGAUUUUAAAAGAAGAAAUUAUCCAGUUUCAGUUUGCCUUCGUAUGAAAAUAUUUAUAUUCUUAAUCAGAAAAAUUAGAAUGCCACUGAUCAUCUAUAAAUAAUCGAAACCUCCGUUAACAUUAACAUUAAUAUACGUACGAUAACAAAUCUUUUCUUACAAGUUCGAUCAAUGGAGAAAUCAUAUGGUCUCUUCCUUUUUACUUGCGUUUGUUUCAUUUUAACCAUCGUCCCAACUAGACGUUUCGAAAAAUGAUUGGUCUGCGAAAGCGAAUGUGAAGAUAAUUAGCAACUAAGAUAUAUAAAAUGCAAUUUUGCAGCAUUUUCUUCAUGAAAAAUGAAACAAUUUUGUAACUUUUGGUUCAUUAAGAAAGAUGGUUGACAACUAGACGUUUCUAAAAACGAUUAGCCUGCAAAAGGGAAUGUGAAGAUAAUUAGCAACUAAGAUAUAUAAAAUGCAAUUUUGCAGCAUUUUCUUCAUGAAAAAUGAAACAAUUUUGUAACUUUUGGUUCAUUAAGAAAGAUGGUUGACAACUAGACGUUUCUAAAAACGAUUAGCCUGCAAAAGGGAAUGUGAAGAUAAUUAGCAACUAAGAUAUAUAAAAUGCAAUUUUGCAGCAUUUUCUUCAUGAAAAAUGAAACAAUUUUGUAACUUUUGGUUCAUUAAGAAAGAUGGUUGACAACUAGACGUUUCUAAAAACGAUUAGCCUGCAAAAGGGAAUGUGAAGAUAAUUAGCAACUAAGAUAUAUAAAAUGCAAUUUUGCAGCAUUUUCUUCAUGUAAAAUGAAGCAAUUUUGCAACUUUUGGUUCAUUGAGAAAUAUAUUUGACAACUAAAUGUUUCCAAAAAUGAUUGGCCUGCGAAAGUGAAUGUGAAGAUAAUUAGCAACUAAGAUAUAUAAAAUGCAAUUUUGCAGCAUUUUCUUCAUGAAAAAUGAAACAAUUUUGUAACUUUUGGUUCAUUAAGAAAGAUGGUUGACAACUAGACGUUUCUAAAAACGAUUAGCCUGCAAAAGGGAAUGUGAAGAUAAUUAGCAACUAAGAUAUAUAAAAUGCAAUUUUGCAGCAUUUUCUUCAUGAAAAAUGAAACAAUUUUUUUACUUUUGGUUCAUUGAGAAAGAUGUUUGACAACUAGACGUUUCCAAAAACGAUUGGCCUGCGAAAGCGAAGGUGAAGAUAAUUAGCAACUAAGAUAUAUAAAAUGCAAUUUUGCAGCAUUUUCUUCAUGAAAAAUGAAACAAUUUUUUUACUUUUGGUUCAUUGAGAAAGAUGUUUGACAACUAGACGUUUCCAAAAACGAUUGGCCUGCAAAAGCGAAGGUGAAGAUAAUUAGCAACUAAGAUUUAUAAAAUGCAAUUUUGCAGCAUUUUCUUCAUGAAAAAUGAAACAAUUUUUUUACUUUUGGUUCAUUGAGAAAGAUGUUUGACAACUAGACGUUUCCAAAAACGAUUGGCCUGCAAAAGCGAAGGUGAAGAUAAUUAGCAACUAAGAUUUAUAAAAUGCAAUUUUGCAGCAUUUUCUUCAUGAAAAAUGAAACAAUUUUUUUACUUUUGGUUCAUUGAGAAAGAUGUUUGACAACUAGACGUUUCCAAAAACGAUUGGCCUGCAAAAGCGAAGGUGAAGAUAAUUAGCAACUAAGAUAUAUAAAAUGCAAUUUUGCAGCAUUUUCUUCAUGAAAAAUGAAACAAUUUUUUUACUUUUGGUUCAUUGAGAAAGAUGUUUGACAACUAGACGUUUCCAAAAACGAUUGCCCUGCGAAAGCGAAGGUGAAGAUAAAUAGCAAGUGCAUCCGCAAUAACCAUCGAUUCAGUUUCACGUCAAAAAUCAAGUCGCCUUCUUAUGAAUUAGUGCCUUUGAAAAUUAUGAGAUCAGUUCGCUUUCUUAUGAAAUUAUUUGGCUAUUAUUCAGUUUUAGGUUGCCUUCAUAUGAAAUUAUUUGGAAAUUAUUCAGUCUCAGUUGCCUUCUCAUGAAUUUUUUUUUUGGGGAAUUUUUCAUUUUCAGGUUGACAUCUUACGUAUGAACAGAAUUUUAAAAGAAGAAAUUAUCCAGUUUCAGUUUGCCUUCGUAUGAAAAUAUUUAUAUUCUUAAUCGGAAAAAUUAGAAUGCCACUGAUCAUCUAUAAAUAAUCGAAACCUCCGUUAACAUUCAUAUCAAUAUACGUACGAUAACAAAUCUUUUUUUACAAGUUCGAUCAAUGGAGAAAUCAUCUGCUCUCUUCCUUUUUUUACGGCACGAAGCACGGCACGGCACGAGCACGUCUUGGUAGAGCACGCGGCACGGCACGACACGCACGUGGGCUGUGCCGGGCUUAGAUUUUAGGCACGCGGGCCUUAAAAGCACGGCACGAUUAGAUAUGGGCCAAAGUACGGUACGCGAAAAAGCACGCAAUAAGCACGUUUUAUUUUUUAAUGAAAAUAAACUUAAAAUUUUAUUAUUUUAUAAAUAACUUGAAAUUGAAUCUUUUAAUAUCUUUAUUGGCUCAGUGAUUUUAUAAAUAUGUAUUAAUAUUAUUAUAAACUAUGAUAUAUGACUUUACGUAAUUCCAAGUUAACAAUUAAGUUACCCCUUAAAAAAAAUUAUUAUUAUUGUUAUUGUUAAGUGCUAAAAAGGAAUUCUAAUACCAUAGAGUCAAACUUAACAACUAAUAUUACAUUAUCUUAUUAUUAUUAAUUUAUUAUUAUUAAAUAUGAACUUGAGUUUUGAAUUUUUUAUUCUAUUAAAUUUAAAUAAAGGCAUAUGGAUCCAAAAAAAAUACAUAAGCUUGAAAAAAAAAUAAGACAACAACUUGGCAUACGCUCUUAAAAAAAUAAAAAAAUAAAAAAGUUUAGUGGGCUAUUUUUCCUAGGCACGGCCCAUGGCACGGCACGUGUGGGCACGGCACGAGUGGGCACAAGCACGAGCAUGUGUGGGCACGGCACGUGUGCCGGGUUGGCACGGCACGGCACGACACGAAAUUAAAAAAAAAUGCCCACUCCAUGCUGAAAUUUCUUUCUUGUUUAUUAUUAUCAUUAUUAUUUUCUAGUUUUAUUAUUAUUAUUUUCUUUUUUGGGUCCAAAAAGUGGUUCUUCGGACAGUCUAAUGAAAACCUGUAACUGAUCCAAAAGACUUAAAACUGAUCCAUUGAACAAAAACUAUCAAUAACAUAUAUAUUAAUAAGAAAAAAAAAAACUCAGUUUUGGGGAAACAAAAAAGGUUGAGAAAAAAAGGGUUAUUAUUCAGCCAUUCUUCACUUUUUACUUCUUAUAAUAAGAUCAUGGGUCAAACCUCCAUCCUAUGCAAAUGACUAUUUUUCUUUUUCUAUUAUUUUUUUAUAUUUUUAGGAGAAAAGGAAUCAGAAAAUAAUUGUUAUAAGAACUAGGCAUGAAUCAUAAAUUCGUAAAUUAUCCCUGAUCCCUGUUCAUUCAAUCGUUUGUUUCUCCAAUCGCGGCAAGUUCAGCUUAAAGGAGAAAGAGUUUGUAAUUGUAGGGAUGUCAAAGGGAUAAAUUAUAUGAUGUUUAAUUUGGAUAUGUCAUUGUCUAUUUAUGAAAUUUCACAAAUUUUUAAAAAAAUAUUAAAUAACGGUUUUCUAAAGACUUUCGAAUGGAGGGUGCCAAUAGCAACACUAGUCACAAACUUUUCAGAUUGUAAGGCUAUAAGAUUUAGGGAUGGCAAAUAUCCAAUGAUGGACGGAUAUUAUCCAUCCAAACACAAAUCCAUAAUUAUCCAUAAUGGAUAUAUCUAUAUCCAUAUUCAGUAAUUAAUAUUGGAUAUGGAUAUGAAUUUUAUCCAUAUAAUUAUGGAGAUCCAUGGAUAUUUUAUUUUUAUUAUAUAAAAAUAAUAAUAUAAAAUAGUUAAAAUUCUAAUAUUAAAUUUGGCUAUUAAAUUAUUUAUAUUAGUAAUAAUAUAUAUAUAUAUAUAAUAAAAUGGUGGUCCGGUGGUUGGUGGUUGUGGUCCGGCAACUUUCCGGCGAAUUCCGGUGACCUUCCGGCGAAGUCCGGCGGAGGUCCGGCGACCUUCCGUCGAGGUCCGGCGGUGAUUCCGGCGAUGUCCGACGGUGGUCCGGCGAUGUCCGGUGGUGGUCCGGUAAUUUUUACUAGUUAAUAUAAGAGAAUAUUAGAUUUUGUUGUUUUUAUUUUAUUUUAGUUUAACAAUAUAAAUAUUUUUAACUUUAAAUGAAUAAAUUAAUUGGAUUUUGGAUAUCCAUUAAAUAUCCAUACCCAUCCAAUAUCUAAUUGGAUAUUUUUAAAAAUAUCCAUAUCCAUAUCCAAGAAGAUUUUGGAUGGAUAUUAUCUAAUCCAAUUGGAUUGGAUAUAUGGAUAUCCAAUUUGGAUUGACCAAUUUGCCAUCCCUACAUAAAGGGUAUUUUCGGAAAUGCACCUUAAUUUAUGUAAUAAUAAUGCUGUCGUUUUGCUAUUCUAUGCACGUGUCACGCUUUAAUUGCAUGUAAUCAAAAUUGGAAAUCUAGUCCGCAGGACCGUGGCCUUUUUUGCAUGAUCCAACGAGUCUGAUUUGUUAACUCUGCUCCAACUUGAGACCGGUACUCCAAUAAUAAUAAUAUUUUGCUCCGCGACACUCUAAUCUUUUAAUAUAUUUUAUUGGCUCAAGUUUUUUAAAUUUAUUUAAUUCUUAGUUUCAAAAAAAUUAUAAUUGAUUUAUGUUUAUGAUUUAUUAAAUAAAUAAUUGAUAUCAUGAUUUUAAUAAACAAAAUUAUAAAUAUCAUGAUUUUAUAAAUAUGUAUUAAUAUUAUUAUAAACUAUGAUAUAUGACUUUACGUAAUUCCAAGUUAACAAUUAAGUUACCCCUUAAAAAAAAUUAUUAUUAUUGUUAUUGUUAAGUGCUAAAAAGGAAUUCUAAUACCAUAGAGUCAAACUUAACAACUAAUAUUACAUUAUCUUAUUAUUAUUAAUUUAUUAUUAUUAAAUAUGAACUUGAGUUUUGAAUUUUUUAUUCUAUUAAAUUUAAAUAAAGGCAUAUGGAUCCAAAAAAAAUACAUAAGCUUGAAAAAAAAAUAAGACAACAACUUGGCAUACGCUCUUAAAAAAAUAAAAAAAUAAAAAAGUUUAGUGGGCUAUUUUUCCUAGGCACGGCCCAUGGCACGGCACGUGUGGGCACGGCACGAGUGGGCACAAGCACGAGCAUGUGUGGGCACGGCACGUGUGCCGGGUUGGCACGGCACGGCACGACACGAAAUUAAAAAAAAAUGCCCACUCCAUGCUGAAAUUUCUUUCUUGUUUAUUAUUAUCAUUAUUAUUUUCUAGUUUUAUUAUUAUUAUUUUCUUUUUUGGGUCCAAAAAGUGGUUCUUCGGACAGUCUAAUGAAAACCUGUAACUGAUCCAAAAGACUUAAAACUGAUCCAUUGAACAAAAACUAUCAAUAACAUAUAUAUUAAUAAGAAAAAAAAAAACUCAGUUUUGGGGAAACAAAAAAGGUUGAGAAAAAAAGGGUUAUUAUUCAGCCAUUCUUCACUUUUUACUUCUUAUAAUAAGAUCAUGGGUCAAACCUCCAUCCUAUGCAAAUGACUAUUUUUCUUUUUCUAUUAUUUUUUUAUAUUUUUAGGAGAAAAGGAAUCAGAAAAUAAUUGUUAUAAGAACUAGGCAUGAAUCAUAAAUUCGUAAAUUAUCCCUGAUCCCUGUUCAUUCAAUCGUUUGUUUCUCCAAUCGCGGCAAGUUCAGCUUAAAGGAGAAAGAGUUUGUAAUUGUAGGGAUGUCAAAGGGAUAAAUUAUAUGAUGUUUAAUUUGGAUAUGUCAUUGUCUAUUUAUGAAAUUUCACAAAUUUUUAAAAAAAUAUUAAAUAACGGUUUUCUAAAGACUUUCGAAUGGAGGGUGCCAAUAGCAACACUAGUCACAAACUUUUCAGAUUGUAAGGCUAUAAGAUUUAGGGAUGGCAAAUAU